GAGCGAGAAAGUGGAGCAAUCCAUGAGUACAGCGGCGCACGGGGUGAGUAACACGUGACUAACCUACCCUCGAGUGGGGAAUAACUUCGGGAAACCGAGGCUAAUACCGCAUAACACCCACGGGUCAAAGGAGCAAUCCGCUUGAGGAGGGGGUCGCGGCCGAUUAGUUAGUUGGCGGGGUAACGGCCCACCAAGACGAUGAUCGGUAUCCGGCCUGAGAGGGCGCACGGACACACUGGAACUGAAACACGGUCCAGACUCCUACGGGAGGCAGCAGUGGGGAAUCUUGCGCAAUGGGCGAAAGCCUGACGCAGCAACGCCGCGUGGAGGACGAAGGCUUUCUGAGUUGUAAACUCCUUUCAGCAGGGACGAUAGUGACGGUACCUGCAGAAGAAGCACCGGCCAACUACGUG
Molecule: ribosomal RNA, 413 nt
Filed under: uncultured bacterium
Lineage: Bacteria
Description: bacterial SSU rRNA
Rfam family: Bacterial small subunit ribosomal RNA
Source: RNAcentral